AGCAAUAUCUGGAUUUAAAUUAGAUGAGCAGGACCCACUAGAAGAAAAAGUACUGCGUAAAUCACACAGAUCUGAAGCAAAGUCCCCUACAGAAAUACUGGAUGUCUUGGCAAAAAGUCUUACAGCCCAUGAGAAACUGAGGCAGUAAGAGGCCAAGUGACUUUCUACCAGACCAUUUGUUUCUCAGAUCAUAAGUACCUUAAGCAGCAGGACAAAUCUUGCGCUCUUCAAGGUUUGAAAUUACCAAAAGUGAGCUGCUUUAUUUACAUGUCAAAUUUCAACCUGGAAGUCAGUGAAAAUCACACCGCCUAGAAGGAUUGUAAACCAAACAGAUACUGGAAUAAGUCCAAUGAAAUUGACGACAAUGGUUUUUCUUCCUGAUGUGCCCCAUCCUGCUUUGUUUAUUGUGGCUAUUGCAAACAUCUUCGCU
This is a non-coding RNA of Pelodiscus sinensis (Chinese soft-shelled turtle), 430 nucleotides long. The record is from RefSeq and is a predicted model, not a curated record. Lineage: Eukaryota; Metazoa; Chordata; Testudines; Trionychidae.